UCUCCCCUGAGAAUGAAGCCUCAUUUCACACCCCAGCCAAGCGGUGUGAAGACAGGGCUGGAAACCAUUCCAGUUCUCCUGUGUGCGAACUUCUGGUUGGAGCCCAGACUGGUUGUUGAGGCCACUGGCAAAGAGUGAAAGAGAGGAAAGGCAUGUGGAUGUAGGGAAGGUGUUCAGACCAAGAACUGAGAGAGGCUGUGUCACAGGAUUAAGGCAGCUAUGCAAGCUUGCACAGGGCCACAAGUAUGAACAGAAAUGCACACUUUGGUAGAACUGGUAGAAGACAGGGCUUCAGAGGAUGGAUCAAAUGAUGUCCCGUAGGAACUUGCCCUACCAAACAACAACAUCUCCUUCAGUACAAAGGAAGUCAAAGUAUUUUCAAAAUUUGAUAUUGUUCCUCUGUUCCUGGGUAUGGAAUGCAGGAAUUUUUCCCCUCAAAAUGAAGCUGUAGUUACCUGAAGGUUGAAAAAUGAACAUUGUAUUUCAAGGCAGUAGCACAUAGCAGUGGAGAAACUCAGGAAAAACAGAAGCAGGGAGCAGCAAUAAAGCAGCCUGUUCAUCGUGGGCAGCACCUCCAACAUCUGAUACCUCGAUGGCAGCCAAGGCAUGGAACAAAGUUGUAACAGAGCGCUGGAAACCAAAAAGCCACAAUGUGUUGUCUGGAUGAUGGUGUAUCCAAAGUUCAUCUGGAAGCUGAAAGGGGCUGCAGGAAGACAUCGAAUGCACCUGAGAGAUAACAAUGUAAAUCAGGCUUUGUGGUAAUUAAGGUAUGUGUGGUGAAAACAGAGGCAGAUGCAUGUUUAGAUUAGUGAGUUGUGCCAGACAUGAUUGGUGCUGAAACUUCAAGAACUGAUUGCCAAAUUUGUUGUUAUUCCCAUUCUGGGCAGAGAGUCUGGAGCAGGAGAAGAGUCAUGAGCAGCAGCUCUCUCAGCACUCACCAAUGAUCAGUAGAACACCUGAAAACAUGCUGUGCAGCCCUCUGGAGAGCUGGCUGCUUAUGUGGCCCUAUAAGUUUCUUUUACAUUUUGUCUUUUACCUCCUGGUGUCCUAAAAUGAUAUUUUCCACCUUCUUUUGUCCUAACCCCUGAUUUUGGAGACCGAAAUGAAACAUAUGACACACCCUUCAGUUCUCAGGGUCAGUAGGAAUAUUCACUUGCUGAGAGUUAACCACACACCAAAGAAGCAUUUUUGAAUGGCCAUUUUAACCCUCCAACACCCUGCCAUCUACCAAAGAAAAACAUACUGGCAAGGAUCAGUGUUAUUCCCAGUGUUGUCUCCUCAGCUCUGUUUAUGGCAAGAACCUGUGUUUUUAAUUUACCAUAGUUCCCUCCUGAACUCUGGUGUUGUCAUGUAAAGGCAAACAGAGCAGAUGUUGUUAUGACGAUGAUUAUUAACAUUAUUAUUGAUGUUUAUAAAUUAAAGCCUGUUUAGGGGAGCAGUCACCUGCCUGUUUGAGUUCCGUGGAACUGACAGGACCACUGAGGUCCCCACACUUGACUGAAGGCUGUUUUAAAUAGGAAUGAACCCAAACAUAUGUUUAAUUGCUUCACUAGAAGUAUGGAAAGUCUCAUUCUCUUCAUGGGACAAACCUUUGUUCCUUCCAGCCAGACCAUGCAGGCAUAAAUCACUUUGAGCAGCCAAAGAAUCCUCUGCCUGCAAAAAUCCCCGGAUUGAUCAAACUGAACACCUAAUUACAGAGCUGGUGAGCUUACACUGAAGGCGGUUUGAAAGGCUGCCUGGAACAUCAUGGGUUGAGCUGCCUUUGUUGGGAGCAUUGUGCUGUGAUGUGUAACGUGGGUAGAUUCCUGUGGGAUGUUGACAGUUUGUGGGAAAUGCAUGUAGGAGGAACUGGGUUACGAAGACCAGGGGGUUUAAUUUUUAUUUUUUUCUUUACUCUCUCUCUCUCUCUCUUUCUCACUGUACUGCAUGUGAGCUUGGAGAUUUUGGGGGUUUGGUUUUCUUUUCUUGGCUUUUUAAGGUAUGGGGAAAGAAGACCUUCUGGUUUUGGAAAAAUCUGGCCACUACAUGCUGAGUGUUAUGAGCCACUCGUUCCUGAAGGUUCAAUACUGCACAGGUCCUACCCUCCCCAAAAGGAUGCUGGUUGGUGCUCCUGAAAAUGCUAAUGUUCCUCUUUUUUUGCUUAUGGCAUUUAUAUUGAGUGCUAAUCACUUGUUAAGCUAUGGAUUUAUGUAAUAAAUUAAUUAGCUCUGCAAUGUUUUCUCCACUCUCUGCCUGCCAGUCGUCUCUGCUGGGACUUGUUAGUUUUUUUCCAGUUACAAAUAGCUCUCGGUAUUAUUAUUUGCUUUUAAAUAAUUUCUCAGGCUGAUAUUUUUUUUCCCUUUCCCACCAGAAGUGGAUUUUCUCCUGUGUGUUAUCCCAGCCUGAGGCACAGGGCAGGCAUGAUUUGGGUCUGCACUGGCAGUGGGUUUUCCACACACAAACAUACAGAGUUUAAAGUUCAUUGGCUUAGAGCAGUGCAAGGAUAGGGCCAGAAGGUUUGCCUUUGGAAAAGGAUGAAUCUUGCCUUCAAUAAUAACUUAGGCCCAGUAUUAACAGGGCAUGAGAUAUCCAAAGUCAUAAUGCCAUUUGUUAUAGAAAAAACAUUUUCAUGGCACCCUCCCUCCCAUGCUUUCUGUUCCCUCUCCUGAAUGUAUGCUGGAAUUGGUGUGAUAUCAGCGCAGGAUCUGUUUAAUCUAGAGAUGGUGUUUACAACUUUUUGGAAAAUAUUUCUUGAAGUUUAUGAAUAUAUUCUAGUUUUUGCAUAUUCUAGUUUUCUUCAUAUGCAUUCAGUCCAUUUUAAUUUUGCUAGAACAAAGAAUUUCAGAGAAUAGUUUUGUAUUGGUCUUGUGAGAAAAAAAAUGCAGUCUUUUAUCACUCCUUAUGGAUUUUUAUCAUGCAAUGUUUCCACCUUUUUGAAUGAGAGAAACAUUGAAUAGGAGCACAGGAUAUUUCAUUUGUAUUAGACUCAUCGUAUUGAAACCUCUAAUAUAUUUCUUCUUAUUUUGUCUUUAAAUUAAAUGGACCUAAUCCUUUUAUCUUUUCACAUAGAAAAUUCCUCAUUCUGCUAUUUAUUUUAAUUAUUUUUCUCUGAAUCCCCUCUGUUGUUGCAUUAUCUCCUCUAAAAGCACUGACCAAAACUGAACACAGUGUCCCUGUUGGCAGUGCAUUAUUCAUUUACCUAUCACAUUAUGCUGUUUAUAAUGUUUUCCAUUAUAAUACACAAUUCCUCAUAAUACACAAUUUGUCAUUUUUCCC
Molecule: long non-coding RNA, 3255 nt
Organism: Passer domesticus (house sparrow)
Lineage: Eukaryota; Metazoa; Chordata; Aves; Passeriformes; Passeridae
Exons: 5
Source: RefSeq, a predicted model, not a curated record